RNAcentral lists this unclassified non-coding RNA (307 nucleotides) under Hevea brasiliensis (rubber tree). Lineage: Eukaryota; Viridiplantae; Streptophyta; Magnoliopsida; Malpighiales; Euphorbiaceae. The record is from RNAcentral.
GGAAACGCGAUUUGUUCUUCGUUCAAGCAGUGAAUUUCGAAAUUGAGAGGUGGAAUUGAUAGAGGGAACAGAAAUGGUGAAUCGGCGAACGGACAAGUUGCUGAGAAGAACAACAAUGGUGGCCACUGUCACUGCUUCACACUUUCUCUUAACCGCCGAUUAUGGCCCUGAACCCAAUUUUCUUGAUCCUAUCAAAAAGUUUAUACUGUCAGCAGAAAGUUCUAUCAAGGGUUUCAUCUUUGGAUCGAAUAAUCAAUCUCAAGAAAGUCAAAAAGAGAAGCUCGGUUCCAAUGGUGUCAAGGACAAU